UCUUUCUUACGAAAGCAGUCUCAUCUGACACAUAUAACAGACGAUAGGGGUUGCGCUCGUUAAUCCACUUAAGGAAACCAUUCACAUGACGAGCUGACGACAGCCGUGCAGCACCUGUCCAGCACCCUCGAAGGCGACUCCGUUUCUGGAGCUUGCAGCUGGAUUUCAAGCCUUGGUGAGGUUCCUCGCUUAGAGUCGAAUUGAACCACAUGUUCCACCGCUUGUGCAAAUUCCCGGCUAUUUCUUUGAGUUUUAAUCUUGCGAUCGUACUUCCCAGGCGACACACUUAACGCGUUGGCUUCGCCACUGGAAGGGUCGAUGCUCCCAAUAGCUAGUGUGUAACGUUUAGGGCGUGGACUA
RNAcentral lists this unclassified non-coding RNA (360 nucleotides) under uncultured bacterium. RNAcentral describes it as "contains 16S-23S intergenic spacer region". The record is from RNAcentral.